AACAGCCGCCUAGGAGCGCUUUUGACACGCUGCGCAGAUCCCGCGCGCAGGAACACACCGCCAUAUGCUUGGGAGAGAGUUUCGACCAGGAAAAUCCUUGCCGUCCUCCGAAGCCUCGUGAAAACAACAAUGUCUCGAAGAAGAAGAUACAGUGACGAUGAAGACGAAGGCCGCGGCAACAAACGUCGCCGGACCAGCGAACCGCUGGAGAUCGAGGACAGACUGGAGUCCCUCAUCACUCGUGUGGGGGAGAAGAGCACAUCAUCAUUAGAAUCUAACCUGGAGGGACUGGCUAGUGUGCUGGAGGCCGACCUGCCAAACUACAAGGCCAAGAUCCUCAAGAUUCUUGUUGACUG
Branchiostoma belcheri (Belcher's lancelet) is the source of this 356-nucleotide long non-coding RNA. RefSeq lists it as uncharacterized. The record is from RefSeq and is a predicted model, not a curated record. The transcript has 3 exons. Lineage: Eukaryota; Metazoa; Chordata; Leptocardii; Amphioxiformes; Branchiostomatidae.